Molecule: ribosomal RNA, 513 nt
Filed under: uncultured bacterium
Lineage: Bacteria
Description: partial 16S ribosomal RNA
Rfam family: Bacterial small subunit ribosomal RNA
Source: RNAcentral
GACGAACGCUGGCGGCAUGCCUAAUACAUGCAAGUCGAGCGAACAGAUGAAGUGCUCGCACUUCUGACGUUAGCAGCGAACGGGUGAGUAACACGUAAGGAAUCUACCUAUAAGCGGGGGAUAACAUUCGGAAACGGGUGCUAAUACCGCAUAAUAUCUUCUUCCGCAUGGAAGAAGAUUGAAAGACGGCUCUGCUGUCACUUAUAGAUGACCUUGCGGUGCAUUAGUUAGUUGGUGGGGUAAUGGCCUACCAAGACGAUGAUGCAUAGCCGACCUGAGAGGGUGAUCGGCCACAUUGGGACUGAGACACGGCCCAAACUCCUACGGGAGGCAGCAGUAGGGAAUCUUCCGCAAUGGGCGAAAGCCUGACGGAGCAAUGCCGCGUGAGUGAAGAAGGCCUUCGGGUCGUAAAACUCUGUUAUAAGAGAAGAACAAAUUGUAGAGUAACUGCUACAGUCUUGACGGUAUCUUAUCAGAAAGCCACGGCUAACUACGUGCCAGCCGCCGCAGUAA